UGCCCUGUAGCCAAGCGGUAAGGCGGUAGGCUCUGACCCUAUGAUUCCACUGGUUCGAAUCCAGUCAGGGCAACCA
Molecule: transfer RNA, 76 nt
Filed under: Bacilli bacterium
Lineage: Bacteria; Bacillati; Bacillota; Bacilli
Description: tRNA-Gln
Rfam family: tRNA
About the family: Transfer RNA (tRNA) molecules are approximately 80 nucleotides in length.
Source: RNAcentral